UUCUUAUACUAUAUCAUUAUAAGUAAAAUCUGCUCAAUGAUAAUUAAAUAGCCGCAGAAUUUUAACUGUGCUAAGGUAGCAUAAUCAUUUACCUUUUAAUUGAAGGUUUGUAUGAAAGAUUUUACAUUUAAAUUAUUUUUUUCCUAAAAUAAAUUGAAUUUUUAUUAAAAAUAAAAAUAUUUUUAUAAAUAAAAAAGACGACAAGACCCUAUUGAACUUUACUUUAGUUAAGCUGGGGAAGCUAAUUAAAUAUUAUUUUAAUAUUUGUAACUUUAAUAAGUAUCUGGAGCCCCAAUUUGAACAAGUUACCAUAGGGAUAACAGCGUAAUAAUUUUUAAAAGUUCUUAUUAAAAAAAAAGUUUACGACCUCGAUGUUGAAUUAAAUUUACUUUAAAACGCAAUAGUAUUAAAAGUAGGUCUGUUCGACCUUUAAAUUUUUACAU
Molecule: ribosomal RNA, 443 nt
Filed under: Fusciphantes longiscapus
Lineage: Eukaryota; Metazoa; Arthropoda; Arachnida; Araneae; Linyphiidae
Description: partial 16S ribosomal RNA
Source: RNAcentral